Non-coding RNA from Kogia breviceps (pygmy sperm whale), 371 nucleotides. The record is from RefSeq and is a predicted model, not a curated record. NCBI's taxonomy places the organism in Eukaryota, Metazoa, Chordata, Mammalia, Artiodactyla, Physeteridae.
UCCUCCAGCCAAGAGGAAUUUGAACGCUUUUCCCGAAUAGUGGAAAAUGAACGUCUCAUGGAGCUAGGGUCUGUCACCACCUGGAAACAUGAGCCCCCAGAAGAACACAAGAAAUAAACACACAGCCAAGCUUGUGGGACUUGAUUCCAUCCCAUUGCUUCUCACUUCCAGUGGAUGAUUCUGCCUCCUCCAUGUGAAGAACGGCUUUCAGAAGAGACACUUGCAUCUCUAAGGUCUCAGUUGUAUGUAGAUUGCUGUUCCUGGAAUUGUCCAUCAUCAGCUGGGUCCAUACAGGCCAACUGGAAUAUUUCCUGCGGGGAGAGUGGACUCAUCGAAGGGUAUCCACUCCGGCCACUCCUGCAAAGCAAUGC